This 331-nucleotide ribosomal RNA is filed under the name uncultured bacterium. RNAcentral describes it as "bacterial SSU rRNA". It matches the Rfam family "Bacterial small subunit ribosomal RNA", at positions 32 to 339 of the family's 1533-position model. The record is from RNAcentral.
AAUCAACGCUGGCGGCGUGCCUCAGACAUGCAAGUCGAACGCUGCUGUUCGCUUUCGGGUGGACAGUGGAGUGGCGCACGGGUGAGUAACACGUAGGUAAUCUACCUUUGGGUGGGGAAUAACAGCCGGAAACGGCUGCUAAUACCGCAUAAUGCAGCGGCAUCACAUGAUGACAGUUGUUAAAGCGGGGGAUCGUAAGACCUCGCGCCUGAAGAGGAGCCNGCGGCAGAUUAGGUAGUUGGGUGGGGUAAUGGCUCACCAAGCCUGCGAUCUGUAACCGGCCUGAGGAGGGCGGUCGGUCACACUGACACUGACAUACGGGUCAGACUCC